AUUGAACGCUGGCGGCAUGCUUUACACAUGCAAGUCGAACGGUAACAGGGUGCUUGCACCGCUGACGAGUGGCGAACGGGUGAGUAAUGCGUCGGAACGUGCCGAGUAGUGGGGGAUAACGCAGCGAAAGUUGUGCUAAUACCGCAUACGUACUGAGGUAGAAAGUGGGGGACCUUCGGGCCUCACGCUAUUCGAGCGGCCGACGUCUGAUUAGCUAGUAGGUGAGGUAAAGGCUCACCUAGGCGACGAUCAGUAGCGGGUCUGAGAGGAUGGUCCGCCAAACUGGGACUGGGACACGGCCCAGACUCCUACGGGAGGCAGCAGUGGGGAAUUUUGGACAAUGGGCGAAAGCCUGAUCCAGCCAUGCCGCGUGUCUGAAGAAGGCCUUCGGGUUGUAAAGGACUUUUGUCAGGGAGGAAAUCCCUAGUGCUAAUAACACUGGGGGAUGACAGUACCUGAAGAAUAAGCACCGGCUAACUACGUGCCAGCCGCCGCGGUAA
Molecule: ribosomal RNA, 500 nt
Filed under: uncultured bacterium
Lineage: Bacteria
Description: partial 16S ribosomal RNA
Rfam family: Bacterial small subunit ribosomal RNA
Source: RNAcentral